RNAcentral lists this unclassified non-coding RNA (376 nucleotides) under soil metagenome. RNAcentral's name for it is "partial contains 5.8S ribosomal RNA, internal transcribed spacer 2, and large subunit ribosomal RNA". The stretch from base 1 to 120 matches the Rfam family "5.8S ribosomal RNA", at positions 35 to 154 of the family's 154-position model. The record is from RNAcentral.
GAUGAAGAACGCAGCGAAAUGCGAUAAGUAAUGUGAAUUGCAGAAUUCAGUGAAUCAUCGAAUCUUUGAACGCAUCUUGCGCUCCUUGGUAUUCUGAGGAGCAUGCCUGUUUGAGUGUCAUUAAAUUCUCAACUACACUGACUUUGAAUUGGUGUGGCUUGGAUUUGGGGGGAAAAUUGUUGUGGGCUUUUUGUAUAGUCUGCUCCCCUGAAAUUGAUUAGCGGUACCUUUGUGGAACUGUCUACAGGUGUGAUAAUUAUCUACAUCUUAGACAUCUGCUGGAAUGCUGCUUUCUAGACCUUACUUGUAUUGACAAUCUUGACCUCAAAUCAGGUAGGACUACCCGCUGAACUUAAGCAUAUCAAUAAGCGGAGGA